This 457-nucleotide ribosomal RNA is filed under the name Salegentibacter sp. R-39084. RNAcentral's name for it is "bacterial SSU rRNA". It matches the Rfam family "Bacterial small subunit ribosomal RNA", at positions 28 to 477 of the family's 1533-position model. Lineage: Bacteria; Pseudomonadati; Bacteroidota; Flavobacteriia; Flavobacteriales; Flavobacteriaceae. The record is from RNAcentral.
GAUGAACGCUAGCGGCAGGCCUAACACAUGCAAGUCGAGGGGUAACAGGGAAGAGCUUGCUCUUUUGCUGACGACCGGCGCACGGGUGCGUAACGCGUAUACAACCUACCUUUUAGCGGGGAAUAGCCCAGGGAAACUUGGAUUAAUGCCCCAUAGUAUAUAGGAAUCUCCUGAUUUUUAUAUUAAACAUUUAUGGCUAUUAGAUGGGUAUGCGUCCUAUUAGUUAGUUGGUAAGGUAACGGCUUACCAAGGCAGCGAUAGGUAGGGGUCCUGAGAGGGAGAUCCCCCACACUGGUACUGAGACACGGACCAGACUCCUACGGGAGGCAGCAGUGAGGAAUAUUGGACAAUGGGCGAGAGCCUGAUCCAGCCAUGCCGCGUGCAGGAAGACUGCCCUAUGGGUUGUAAACUGCUUUUACAGAGGAAGAACCACCCCCACGUGUGGGGGUUGACGGUA